CUACGGGAGGCAGCAGUGAGGAAUAUUGCGCAAUGGGGGAAACCCUGACGCAGCGACGCCGCGUGGAUGAUGAAGGCUUUCGGGUCGUAAAAUCCUGUCAGAAGGGAAGAAAUGCUAUAUGCCUAAUAUGUGUAUAGUUUGACGGUACCUUCAAAGGAAGCACCGGCUAACUCCGUGCCAGCAGCCGCGGUAAUACGGAGGAUGCAAGCGUUGUUCGGAAUUACUGGGCGUAAAGCGCGCGUAGGCGGCCUUUUAAGUCAGAUGUGAAAGUCCACGGCUCAACCGUGGAAGUGCAUUUGAUACUGGGAGGCUUGAGUACUGGAGGGGAUGGUGGAAUUCCCGGUGUAGAGGUGAAAUUCGUAGAUAUCGGGAGGAAUACCGGUGGCGAAGGCGACCAUCUGGCCAGAUACUGACGCUGAGGUGCGAAAGCAUGGGGAGCAAACAGGAUUAGAUACCCUAGUAGUC
Molecule: ribosomal RNA, 465 nt
Filed under: uncultured bacterium
Lineage: Bacteria
Description: partial 16S ribosomal RNA
Rfam family: Bacterial small subunit ribosomal RNA
Source: RNAcentral